GAUGAACGCUAGCGGGAGGCUUAACACAUGCAAGUCGAGGGGCAGCAUAGGGUAGCAAUACUCUGAUGGCGACCGGCAAACGGGUGAGUAACGCGUAUGCAACCUACCCUGUACAGGGGGAUAACCCGGAGAAAUUCGGACUAAUAUCCCGUAAUAAUAUCCGGAGGCAUCUUUGAAUAUUUAAAGUUCCGACGGUACGGGAUGGGCAUGCGUAACAUUAGCUGGUUGGUAAGGUAACGGCUUACCAAGGCUAUGAUGUUUAGGGGUCCUGAGAGGGUGGUCCCCCACACUGGUACUGAGACACGGACCAGACUCCUACGGGAGGCAGCAGUGAGGAAUAUUGGUCAAUGGGCGCAAGCCUGAACCAGCCAUCCCGCGUGCAGGAAGACGGCCCUAUGGGUUGUAAACUGCUUUUCCAGGGAGAGAAACUUACGCACGUGUUGCGUGACUGACGGUACCCUGGGAAUAAGCAUCGGCUAACUCCGUG
This 487-nucleotide ribosomal RNA is filed under the name uncultured bacterium. Its description in RNAcentral is "bacterial SSU rRNA". It matches the Rfam family "Bacterial small subunit ribosomal RNA", at positions 28 to 507 of the family's 1533-position model. The record is from RNAcentral.